CAAAGUUCUCAUUUUUUGAGAGGGAUUCAGCAGCUUAUACAGAAAGAAUGGAUCAACAUGUUCAAUGAGCAUGAAUUCCAGCUUUCAAUAUCAGGUUCACUGGACAGCUUGGAUGUUGAUGACCUACGGACACAUACUACUUAUUCAAGUGGUUAUCAUAGGGAGCAUUAUGUCAUUGAGAUGUUUUGGGAAGUUAUCAAAAGUUUCUCAGUGGAAAACCAAAAGAAAUUUCUGAAAGACUGGCAGAUGGUUUAAGUAGCUUUAAAACAAGUAGAAUAAAUCUUAUUGAUUUACCUGGUUCCGGAGGCAGAAGCUAACAGGUGCAGCUGGGGAGCGCUUGAAGGAAGCACGCAAUAUCAACCGAUCACUCUCACAACUCGGAUCGGAAUGAUGUUGCUCAUCUGAAAGAAGGCAGCAUCAUGUGCUUGAAGACUUGUA
Molecule: RNA transcript, 438 nt
Organism: Cucumis sativus (cucumber)
Lineage: Eukaryota; Viridiplantae; Streptophyta; Magnoliopsida; Cucurbitales; Cucurbitaceae
Gene name: E3 ubiquitin-protein ligase UPL6-like
Exons: 5
Source: RefSeq, a predicted model, not a curated record